Molecule: long non-coding RNA, 2337 nt
Filed under: Musa acuminata (dwarf banana)
Lineage: Eukaryota; Viridiplantae; Streptophyta; Magnoliopsida; Zingiberales; Musaceae
Description: long non-coding RNA (MACU_LNC006313)
Source: RNAcentral
AGAAACAGAAUUUGUUAGAAGUAAUGCCUCUUAGGUAUGCAAAUUCAAUAUAAGGUGGAAAAGAAGUCCACAAGCUAUAAACUAGAGACUAAAGCUACAAAAUUAAACUAAUAUUAUUGCAGAAAAAUACUGAAAAUACCAAAGGAACCACAAAGAGAUGUCCUAACAUCCUUUUAUGCUCAGAAAGUCUUCUUAUUUCUUUUUCUUUUUUUUUUUGUUUCUAGUAACUAAACUCCUAGUUAGAUUAGUGAAACUAACACUAAUAACUUCUUCAAUUAAAGCAUAAAAAAGAUUCCUAGGACCUGCUCGUGUCUUGUACAAAUUAUUUGUACGCUCUGUUGUGUCCAUAAAGAGUGUUUGAGCAUCACACACUGGUUAUUGACUCCUGUUCUAGCAGGAAAACAACACUUAAAUAUUUGUUUCUUUGGCCUUCUUUCAUGAUGUACUUGUGGGCAUAGGACUCUCAGAAGCUUUAGGAUAUACUUCGUUAAACUAAUUUCCUGUUGAGUAGACCACUCCUUGUUGAUGUAGGACUCUUGCAGCAGCAUGCGGGUAGGACUCUUGCAGGCAGGCAGCAUUCUCAUUCUGGGAUUGAUGCUCCAAACAUAAAGCCUACAUUUUAUAACAAUGAGUAGUUUUGACUUUUGAGCCUUCUGACUGCGAAUGUAUGUACCUGUAGACGUAUCAGAGAAACAAGAUGGGUUAAUUAGGAUUAGUGGAACAAAAGAGGUAGAGAAAGACUUGAGCGAACUCUAUUGCAAGCAAUAGAAAAGAAAAUUUACUGCUAUUGAUGUUGCCGUAGACAUCAUUAGGCUGCACAACUCUGCAUUAGCAGGAGCCUCACGUAUUGAGGCACCGUCUUUUGAUAUUGUUGCAACAAAACUGCAUUGAUCGUAAAAACAAUUUUGCAGGCAACCCAAACAGUCCUGGCCAUAUGCUUUUUUAUUGACAAGCUGCUGUUGCUGCAUGUUUUAGCAGAUAACUUUUGUUUUCUGCCUCGAUUGCUGGACAAACAUUAUUUAGGUUUCUUCCAAAUCUUUGUGAAGCGACAAUUAUAUACGGUCACAAAUGCUAUAACUAAACUUGCCAAUCAAUUACGGACAAACUUAGUUUCGUAAUUCAAAAAAUAAAAUUUCGGAUACCAGACUCAUGCUGGUCCAUGGCUGCACCUGUACGGGGCCAGUCCUUUAUAGCGUUAUGGCAUACCGACACAUGGUACACUGGAAUGUAGCUGAGAAGAAGAGGUGGUGAGAGAAGAGAAGGAGAAGAGUCGGAGAAGAGGAGGCAUUGAAGAAGAGGAGGGAAGAGGGGGCGCUGGAGGAGAAGAGGAGACGGGAUGAGAGAAGGAGAAGAGGAGGUGGCGGCUGUGGGCUUGAAACAGGCUGUAAACCUGAUUCACAGGGUUUACCGCUCAAUAGUAAACCCUGUUCACAAAUCGGGUGGGUCUGCAUUCCAGUCCUCCCAGUUUGUCAAACUCCGCUUGGUAUAUUAACAUUUGUGGAAACUAUUAUUUGUCGUAUGUUCCAACUUAAAUUUUGAGAAUACAUGUUGGUCACAUAUUCCUAACAAGUGAACAUUUAUAUAAGUAGAUGCUACAUAGUUUUUUACUUUGACAUGAAGAGAAAAUUUUCUUAAAGAGAGUUCAUGCUGUGUCUUUUUUAACCUUAUAUGUCAUCUUUUCCCUUUUUUGUUAUGAUGCAGACAUGAGCCUGUGUUUUAUAUGCCAUGUCAUUGCCUUUGGGGACACCAAAUUAUUCUUUGCCCAUUCUUUCUCAUAUAUAUCAUCUCUCUGAAACACGGGUUGCACCUGUGUUUUUCUCUGUUUAAUAUUUUUCAUAUUUCUAACAAAUAAUAGUACAAUCCUUUUAGUUUAAGUUGGAUUAAUUUCUCUUGUUCCAUCUGACAAACAUUGUUGAUUUCAAGUUGCAUAUGGGGACUCAAAUGGUGAUUUACUAAUCCAAUUAUGUGUGAAGUUUAUGAAAAUCUUGCAUUCAUGAUUUUGGUUACUGAUUAUGACUGGAAGAGGGGCAUUAAUUUCUGCUGACUGUGAGAUACUUUUUUACGAUUGCCUUUUAGCAUAUUGCUUAGGUGGAAAACUUUUAAUUACAAAGAUGCUUGAGUGCCUCCGUUAUCAUUUGACUGAUGAUGUGUGUUGGAAACCUCCAGAGAAAGUCAUUUGCAAUGUUUCUACGAAAGUCAACUGGAUGUAUAGUUCAAGUACUUAAGUUAUUAUUUGUGGUCCUGUUGCUUCUUCUCCACCCUCCUCGAGUGGUAUCAUUUGGGAUAAAUAUUCUUUUUAUUUUCUUUAUUGAAUAUUAAAGAAAUAAGAUUAAAAAA